RNAcentral lists this ribosomal RNA (352 nucleotides) under uncultured bacterium. Its description in RNAcentral is "bacterial SSU rRNA". It matches the Rfam family "Bacterial small subunit ribosomal RNA", at positions 8 to 350 of the family's 1533-position model. The record is from RNAcentral.
AGAGUUUGAUCCUGGCUCAGGAUGAACGCUAGCUACAGGCUUAACACAUGCAAGUCGAGGGGAAACGAUAUUGGAAGCUUGCUUCCGAUAGGCGUCGACCGGCGCACGGGUGAGUAACGCGUAUCCAACCUGCCCACCACUUGGGGAUAACCUUGCGAAAGUAAGACUAAUACCCAAUGACGUCUCUAGAGGACAUCUGAAAGAGAUUAAAGAUUUAUCGGUGAUGGAUGGGGAUGCGUCUGAUUAGCUUGUUGGCGGGGUAACGGCCACCAAGGCUACGAUCAGUAGGGGUUCUGAGAGGAAGGUCCCCCCACAUUGGAACUGAGACACGGUCCAAACUCCUACGGGGGCA